GAUGAAGAACGCAGCGAAAUGCGAUAAGUAAUGUGAAUUGCAGAAUUCAGUGAAUCAUCGAAUCUUUGAACGCACAUUGCGCCCGCCAGUAUUCUGGCGGGCAUGCCUGUUCGAGCGUCAUUUCAACCAUCAAGCCCCAGGCUUGUGUUGGGGACCUGCGGCUGCCGCAGGCCCUGAAAACCAGUGGCGGGCUCGCUGUCACACCGGGCGUAGUAGAUUUUAUCUCGCUCAGGGCGUGCUGCGGGUUCCGUCCGUUAAAAAGCCUUUUUUACCCAAGGUUGACCUCGGAUCAGGUAGGAAUACCCGCUGAACUUAAGCAUAUCAAUAAGCGGAGGA
Molecule: unclassified non-coding RNA, 336 nt
Filed under: soil metagenome
Description: partial contains 5.8S ribosomal RNA, internal transcribed spacer 2, and large subunit ribosomal RNA
Rfam family: 5.8S ribosomal RNA (bases 1-120)
Source: RNAcentral